RNAcentral lists this long non-coding RNA (1398 nucleotides) under Piliocolobus tephrosceles (Ugandan red Colobus). RNAcentral's name for it is "lncRNA (ENSPTEG00000014771.1)". The record is from RNAcentral. Lineage: Eukaryota; Metazoa; Chordata; Mammalia; Primates; Cercopithecidae.
UUGGUAAGUUCAUAUCCUAUAUAAGCUCCUGUGUAAAGUCACUCACCAGUUUCCACUGAUGCUGUCUCGUCUGCUGCUCUGAUGCCUACACCAUGGUGUCCAGAAUCUUCGCUUUGGUUUUGAACUCUUGGGGUCAGACUCAGAAGGGACCACAGAUGAGAACUGGUGCGGUGAGUCGAGGGAGAAGAGAGGAGGGAGGAGAUAGCACUGUGGAUAGGGUUGGGGGCUCCCAGAGGCCCCCUGCCAGCUCAUCAGCUCUGACUCUUCUAGAUAUUGGACUGUGGUUGUGCCAGUUGACAGUCCAAGGUGGAGACCAGAUCUGCUAUCUCUUGGGCUGUAAUAAGGGGGUCAUCCUGUCCUUGAAUAAGACCCAGCUCUGUGGCCCCAACUGCACUUCUGUCCCUGCUUCCAGCACUGCUGCCUGGAGUCCCUGGGAUCUCAGCACCAGGCAGUAGUGAGGCUCCAUGUCCCAGGAAUGAGACCUGACUACCCAGUAGUGUGCCCAAGUAAGGGCAGCCCAGGCGGUGGACGGAGUUUUGUUAUGUGUAUUCCAUCAAGGUGAGCAAUGCCUGCUGUGUUCCCUAACUUCUUCCUCUUCCUCUUCCUCUUCUUCCUUCUUCCUUCUCCUUCUCCUUCUCCUUCUCCUUCUUCUUCAUCUUUUUCUUUUUGAGAUGGAGUCUCACUCUGUUGCCCAGGUUGGAGUACAGUGACACAAUCUUGGCUCACUGUAAGUUCUGCCUUCCGGGUUCACUCCAUUCUCCUACCUCAGCCUCCCGAGUCCCAGCUACUGGGACUAUAGGCACCUGCCACCAUGCCAAGCUAAUUUUUUGUAUUUUUAGUAGAAACAGGGUUUCCCCCAUGUUAGCCAGGAUGGUCUCGAUCUCCUGACCUCGUGAUCUGCCUGCCUUGGCCUCCCAAAGUGCCGGGAUUACAGGCUUGAGUCACCAUGCCCGGUCCACUAACUUACUUUUGCGCAACCAUCUCUCUCUCUCUCCACUGCCCCACUCUCCUCUCUUCCCCUCCCUGUAUUUUCUCUCCUCUCCUUCCUUCUCUUCCUAUCUCUCUCAAGUUGAAGGAAGAGUAGCUCAGUCAUCUUCCAGAAUUGCUUUUUACCCCCUAGUCACCUGGCCCCAUAGCCCCCGACCACCGCAUGCUCCCUUAACUGUUCCUCCCCUUCCCCUCUACCCUCACCCUUGGCAGCCACUAGUCUGCUUUCUGUCUCUAUGGAUUUACCUAUCUGGGACAUUUCAUAUAAAUGGAAUCAUACCAUAUGUGGCCUUUUGUGUCACUUUCUGUUUUUUUUUUACUUUGCUUAUUGUUUUCAAGGAGUAUUCCCAUUGUAGAAUUUAUUAGUACUUCAUUCCUUUUUAUAACUGAAUAAAUUCAGUUGUAUCCACA